GGUCAAUGAUGUAAUGACAUGUAUUAGCUGAAUCCAAAGUUGAUGUGAAUUCAAAAAUUAUACCAAGACCUU
Small nucleolar RNA from Piliocolobus tephrosceles (Ugandan red Colobus), 72 nucleotides. Lineage: Eukaryota; Metazoa; Chordata; Mammalia; Primates; Cercopithecidae. The record is from Ensembl.